Molecule: ribosomal RNA, 255 nt
Filed under: uncultured bacterium
Lineage: Bacteria
Description: partial 16S ribosomal RNA
Rfam family: Bacterial small subunit ribosomal RNA
Source: RNAcentral
UACGAGGGGGGGCGAGCGUUGUUCGGAAUUAUUGGGCGUAAAGGGUGCGUAGGCGGUUUCGGUAAGUCUCAUGUGAAAUCUACAGGCUCAACUUGUAGUCUGCAUGAGAAACUGCCGGGCUUGAGUAUGGGAGAGGUGAGUGGAAUUCCUGGUGUAGCGGUGAAAUGCGUAGAUAUCAGGAGGAACACCUGUGGCGAAAGCGGCUCACUGGACCAUAACUGACGCUGAUGCACGAAAGCUAGGGGAGCAAACAGG